RNAcentral lists this ribosomal RNA (593 nucleotides) under uncultured rumen bacterium. RNAcentral's name for it is "bacterial SSU rRNA". It matches the Rfam family "Bacterial small subunit ribosomal RNA", at positions 879 to 1482 of the family's 1533-position model. The record is from RNAcentral.
ACUACGCCGCAGGCUAAACUCAAAGGAAUUGACGGGGGCCCGCACAGCGUGGAGCAUGUGGCUAAUUCGAGCACGCGAAGAACCUUACCUGGAUUUGACAUGGACUGGCUACCAGUAGAAAUACUGGUUCCGCAAGGACCGGUUCACAGUGCUGCAUGGCUGUCGUCAGCUCGUGCCGUGAGUGUUCGGUUAAGUCCGGCAACGAGCGCACCCACGUUAGUAGUUGCCAGCAGGUAAAGCUGGGCACUCUACUGAUACUGCCCGUGUUAAGCGGGAGGAAGGAGUGGAUGAUGUCAAGUCCGUAUGGCCUUUAUAUCCAGGGCUGCACACGUGCUACAAUGGCUGCUACAGAGGGAUGCGAUAUCGCGAGAUGGAGCAGAUCCGUAAAAACAGCCCUAGUUCGGAUUGCAGGCUGCAACUCGCCUGCAUGAAGCCGGAAUCGCUAGUAAAGGCGUAUCAGCCACGACGCCUUGAAUACGUUCCCGGGCCUUGUACACACCGCCCGUCACAUCAUGGGAGUUGAUUGCACCCGAAGCUGCUGACCGAACCUGCAAAGGACGGAGGCAUCUAAGGUGUGGUUAAUGACUGGGAUG